Non-coding RNA from Vicia faba (fava bean), 282 nucleotides. The record is from the annotation of a GenBank genome assembly. Lineage: Eukaryota; Viridiplantae; Streptophyta; Magnoliopsida; Fabales; Fabaceae.
AUGUUAGGAGUUUGUUACGAACUGUUUUUGGUUAUGAAAGUUGGACAAUUAGUGAAUUCGGUUAGGAGAGCAAGAGUUAUGGUUAUUUCUGUUAUGGUUAGCUUUGCUAUUGCUAAUACAGUGUGGUGGCAAGAGGAUGAAGGGCCUGAGCUUCAAAGCUGGAAAUUUAAUAUGCAAGGGUAUUCUUGGUUGCUUUCUCGAUUAUGGAUUUACUUUGGUUCUGUAUUAAUGUGCAGGGCUGAAAAUUGUAUGAAGGCUCGAGCAAGCUUGGCAAAGGCAUGA